CCAAGGGGGGGGCACUAACACAUGCAAGUCGGACGGUAGCACAGAAGAGCUUGCUCUCCGGGUGACGAGUGGCGGACGGGUGAGUAAUGUCUGGGAAACUGCCCGAUGGAGGGGGAUAACUACUGGAAACGGUAGCUAAUACCGCAUAACGUCGCAAGACCAAAGUGGGGGACCUUCGGGCCUCACACCAUCGGAUGUGCCCAGAUGGGAUUAGCUAGUAGGUGGGGUAACGGCUCACCUAGGCGACGAUCCCUAGCUGGUCUGAGAGGAUGACCAGCCACACUGGAACUGAGACACGGUCCAGACUCCUACGGGAGGCAGCAGUGGGGAAUAUUGCACAAUGGGCGCAAGCCUGAUGCAGCCAUGCCGCGUGUAUGAAGAAGGCCUUCGGGUUGUAAAGUACUUUCAGCGGGGAGGAAGGCGGCAAGGUUAAUAACCUUGCCGAUUGACGUUACCCGCAGAAGAAGCACCGGCUAACUCCGUGCCAGCAGCCGCGGUAAUACGGAGGGUGCAAGCGUUAAUCGGAAUUACUGGGCGUAAAGCGCACGCAGGCGGUCUGUUAAGUCAGAUGUGAAAUCCCCGGGCUUAACCUGGGAACUGCAUUUGAAACUGGCAGGCUUGAGUCUCGUAGAGGGGGGUAGAAUUCCAGGUGUAGCGGUGAAAUGCGUAGAGAUCUGGAGGAAUACCGGUGGCGAAGGCGGCCCCCUGGACGAAGACUGACGCUCAGGUGCGAAAGCGUGGGGAGCAAACAGGAUUAGAUACCUUGGGUAGUCCAAAA
RNAcentral lists this ribosomal RNA (778 nucleotides) under Pantoea ananatis. RNAcentral describes it as "bacterial SSU rRNA". It matches the Rfam family "Bacterial small subunit ribosomal RNA", at positions 36 to 800 of the family's 1533-position model. Lineage: Bacteria; Pseudomonadati; Pseudomonadota; Gammaproteobacteria; Enterobacterales; Erwiniaceae. The record is from RNAcentral.